AAGAUUCAAAACGCACGGCAGCAAGUGCCGUAUUAGGGGGUAAUCUAUUUCACUGUAGGCAGACCCACUGUUAGACUAACUGUUUAAAUUAAAUAAAAAAUAAUUAAGGAGAGUGGACCAAUCCGAAUAGGAAACGUGGCAGGCAGUGAACCAUUUGUUCGGAAGACCGAUGGAGCACAACAGAUAAAUCGGGAUGGCCGACAAGUCGACAACCUGAUUUUCUGGACAUCAACUCUCCCACCUUCUCCACCGUCCACGUGUCCCACCUCCCACGGUCCUGAUCCAUCCCCCUCUUACUCACCUCAUCCCGUCCAUAGUACGGUGAUUCUUCCCCAACGUGUCUCGUCAAAUCCCCCCAAACGGUCAAGCAUUUCUUUUCACUAAAAGUCCAUUUUUACCCUUUGUUUGUUA
RNAcentral lists this long non-coding RNA (411 nucleotides) under Carica papaya (papaya). Its description in RNAcentral is "long non-coding RNA (CPAP_LNC012620)". The record is from RNAcentral. Lineage: Eukaryota; Viridiplantae; Streptophyta; Magnoliopsida; Brassicales; Caricaceae.